AGCCGCGGGUCGGUGCAGCAGGAGCUGCUGCUGCCUGCUCUGCUGCUGCAGCCGCUGCUGCAACCGCUGCGACUGCUGCUCCCGCCGUGCCCCGCUGCAUCCCGGCGGUUGGAGCUGCAGCACGGAGCCGGGCAGCCGCACGCAGCGGGGACAUGCUGAGAGACUCCCGGACGUCGCAUCUGUGAUCCCGGGCAUGGAGCAGCGGGCGGCCGAGCGGGCUGGGGGCUGGUAGUGCCAGCAGCAGUGCUGCUCUUCUCCGCUUCGCCCGGCUGUCGGAUCCGAGAUCAUGUCAGUUAAUAUUGUAGCUUUUGGGAAUGAGAGAGACGUGCUUUCAGAAGACAGCCAGCAGUCGAGUCUGAUGUGGAGCUAUCUCAGGAGGAGCGCUCUCAUUUCCGAGAUCGACAGCAGUCCGUCCGCCGAGCACGCCAGGAGCGCCGUCACCACCGAGUACCAAGCCUGCGUCUUCGGCAAUGUCAGGCUGGUGGUGCACGACUGCCCGCUCUGGGAUAUAUUUGACAGUGACUGGUAUACCUCCCGCAGUCUCAUUGGAGGAGCUGAUAUUAUUGUGAUUAAAUACUCCGUCAACGACAAGACCUCAUUUCAAGACUUAAAGGAUAGUUAUGUUCCAAUGAUAAAAAAGGCAUUAAACCACUGUUCAGUUCCAGUAAUAAUUUCUGCUGUUGGUGCAAGAAAAAACGCAGUGCCCUGUACAUGUCCACUGUGCACCCUGGACAGGAGGAGCUGCGUCACCACCUCUGAGGGCGCCCAGCUGGCCAAGGAGUUUGGAGCCACCUACCUGGAGCUGCAUGCUCUCAAUGACUUCUACAUACAGAAGUACUUUGGAGGCGUGCUGGAAUAUUUUAUGAUCCAAAGUUUGAAUCAGAAGUCAUCUGAAAAAAUGAAGAAAAGAAAAAAGACCCAAAAGUGCCAUCGACUGCAACCACCUCAGCUGGAACAGCCAGAAAAAAUGCCCAUUUUAAAAGGCGAAGCCUCUCACUACGACUCCGACCUACACAACUUGCUAUUCUGCUGCCAGUGUGCGGACGUGGCCUUUUACUCAGAAGACUCCAGCAAAGUAGUGGAAGCUCACAAGGUCAUCCUGUGUUCGGUGAGCCACGUCUUCAUGCUUCUCUUUGAUGUGAAGAGCCCUGCGGACAUCCACGACCCCUCCAUCCUGCGCACAGCACAGAGCCUCUUUGCGGUGGAGGCUGGGGCUGGGCUGCCCACUCCUCAUGGUGUGCCGCCAUGCAGUGUGCCCAUCAGGGUGGUCGUUAAGGACUCUGUCUUCUGCUCCUGUCUGCCAGACAUCCUGCACUUCAUCUACUCAGGUGCUUUCCAGUGGGAGCGAUUAGAAGAAGAUAUAAAAAAGAAGUUGAAAGAUUCUGAAAAAACUGAACAUGUGCUUGAGAAAGUUAAAUGUAUCCUGAAAACUCCAGGGAAGGUAAACAGUUUGCAAGACUGCCAAUCUCACCAGAUAAAGCGGCUGUACAGUACUUCUCUCAGGCUGUUCUUUAACACGCCUGUCCUGGCAGAUGUCAUCUUCACAAUACAAGGUGCAACUGUACCAGCCCACAGAGCAGUUCUGGUAGCUCGCUGUGAGGUAAUGGCAGCUAUGUUUAAUGGUAAUUUUCUAGAAGCAAAUAGUAUUCUGGUUCCAGUGUAUGGGGUUUCCAAAGACACUUUCCUCUCCUUUCUGGAGUAUCUUUAUACCGACUCCUGCUGUCCAGCCAGUAUUCUCCAAGCUAUGUCCCUCUUGAUCUGUGCAGAGAUGUACCAAGUAAUGAGGCUCCAGCAUAUCUGUGAGCUCUACAUUAUCACACAGCUCCAGAGCAUGCCCAGUAGAGAACUGGCAUCCACGAGUCUCAGCAUUGUUAGCUUGCUCAAAAAAGCUAAGUUUCACAAUUCUGAUUGCCUUUCCACUUGGCUUCUUCAUUUUAUUGCCACUAAUUACCUCAUCUUCAGCCAAAAGCCUGAAUUUCAAGAUCUUUCAGCCGCUUCCGUACAAAUCAUUGAGAGAUGAGCAUGUCCUGCUCCAUCAAACUUACACCGAGACAGCUGAAGGCAAGAAAUGAGGGUGCAAAUGUAAAAACAUAUGGACCAGGUGAAAACAUUCUGUUCUGGCUUUCAAGACACCAGUACUCUUGCAGGCACAGCUCUGGUGGAAACUCACUGGUAGCUGGCAGCAGUUACUGUGGAGGAGCGCAAUUUUGUAGAGAUGCACAGAUGGCCAUCCAGUAUGUACCUGAAGCAACUUGCCGAAUACAGGAGUUACAUCCACUCUCAGAGAUGCCACUGCACAAUAAUGUAAGGAGACUGAACAUACUGGAAGUGCAUCUCAGCUGGGAAAUGUCUAAAUGGGGAUCAUAUGAAAUACAAUAAAUGUAUCAGCAGCGAAAAUGAACACUGAUGUGCCCUUGAACACUGUAUGCAGUACUGUAGCACACAUACUAAUAUACUUCACUUUCGUAAUAAAUGAUUCUACUUUUUUCUCUUUAAAGCUGUAAGAAAUGUAUCAUGAAGAAUUUUUGAGGUAUGAGGAUUUUGCCUUCACAGGGUUUAAACUGGGUCAUGUCAUGACCGGCAUCCAUUCCAUUCCACUUUUUAAUUGGAUGUCAUGGUCAUUUUCGGCUGUUAAGGUGUUGAAAAUGUAUUUUUUUCUAAGUCUGUGUAUAGUAGGAAUAAGAUCAUCACUGCUAGGAUGCUGAGAGGCCAACUCAAAACGUCUCAGAAUGCAGAAAUUUAAUGCAAUUUGUUGGCUUGCAAAAUAAAGGGUAAGAUUAAUAUAUGCUUUAGUAAGCAUUAAUUUUCUACUCCAGGUUAAGUUUGUCCCUUCUUUCACUAGGACUCUUAUAGUCAUAUAAUCAGACAUUUUAAUCCUGGGGAAUGCCUAUGCAUCAGUAUACUCUUUAAUGCCUGCAAAAUGUCUAGAAAUAAAAAUACUUUUUCCUCCCAGUGAAUAAGAUAAGACAGCCUGCUUUCGUAAUCUGUAGAGCACUUUUGUUAGUGCGGUCAUACUGUAUGUCCAUACUUUCUGAAUGAGUGGUUAAUUUCUCAGAUAGAAGAAGUGAAUCUUGAAUACUGUGCAAAGGAUGACUCUUCAACAGCAGACAGCCUUUAAGAGUACGUUCUUUGGAUCACCGACCUGAAUCAUUCAUUUCUCUUACCAUUAAUAUUGUAGUCUGUAUUAAUGUUAUGGGAAAUGAACCCAACAUUUGCACUGAGAGUAUCUAUUCGAGCAUAGAUAAUUUUAUUAUCAGUCCUCUUGUACUUUUUUUUUCCAAUUCCACUUUGCCAUUUACCCCUAGUUUUGUUAAGUGUUAUUUGAGCCUAGAAAGACAAGGGAAAGACUGAAAAAAUUAUUGAGUGUUUCCCCAAAUUUCAGAGCCGAGCAUCUCAAAUAUACCAGGAAACUGUCUGUGAGAUGAAGACGGAACUGCAGAUUGCUGGAGCUGAAACCUUUCUGCUUAUAUGAUUUUUUUUCUAACAUUUCAUUAAAUUUUCAUAGGUAAAUUUUUCGUUUCAAAUUCCAUGCUAGAAUCAAAGGAAUGUUUUUUCUUUCUGGUGAUGUUUUGCAUAAGGUGGAACUAUGUGAGAAUGUGUUCUAUUCUGGGGAAGAGAAAGUAAAAUUUUUCUCUUGGCUGGCUAGUGCAGGCUGGAAAUUCUAAGAUGAGUUUAUGUAAGAAUGACAAAUCACUUCUAUUUUUAGCUUGUCAGGAGACCUUAGAGUUCAUUAAAAGACAAGAUCUCACUUCAUCUUGCACAUAUAUAGUGCAUAACACUGCUUUUUCAAGAUCACUGAAAAAAAACUGAAAAAAAGGAUUAGGAAUGUAAAAUGUAUUACACUUAAUUUUAAAGAAAGGGUUUUUUUUUUCCCUAAUUAUGUUAUUCACCUUAGUAGAAAUUAGAAGCAUAAAUUAGCUGGCAAGGUAGGAGUAAAACUUGUAUUUUCUCUGAGCAUAAAGUCAUGAACAGAAAUGGGCACACAGCUGGACUUUACCUUGCCUGGAUACCUGGCUGCAUGCGCAAUCAGUGCAUGCUUCUGUAUCAGCAGCCAGCUGACCACUGACGAUACGGUUUAUAUGACUCAUACUGACUUCUCGUACAAAACUGAGGCAAAUUUAUGUGAAUGUUUGCCUGUAUUGCGCACAGUCCUGAAUUUUUAAUGCUCUGAAAGCUUUCCCAGUCUUUUUUUUUUUGCUAGAAGUUAGUAUUUUGCCAGUAAUUUAAGUUUAGAUAAGGUAUGAUGAAAUACUAUUUUUAACUUGAUGCGAAUGUUUUAUAGACAUUUAAAGUAGGCCCAAUGGGUAUACGAACUUUGUAUCCAACCAAUAUUUUGAUACUGUGGUAAUCACAGGUUUUAUACAGAGAAACCAGGCAGCGUAAAGAUAUUUAUUAUUUAUUCACAGGCUUACAGCAUAUUAUUAUUCAGGCAGUAAAACAGCUUUCCACCCUACUGAGUAUCCCAUAAUGCCACCUGUAUCAGGUGGAGAGCUAUGUUAUCCUUGCAAACAGAACAUGAGAGAAAUUUAAAUUCUUAGAAUAAUUGUAAUUGCUAAUUCUCAUUUUUAUUCUGUGUGAUGAUUUUCUGUAGAAAUGUGUUUAUCCCAAAACUAUUUUUAAAACUGAUAGCUUGACAUUUGAAAAUAUAGCUGAGAGAAGAUCAUGAUGCUUGGUUAGUUGCUGAUGGUAUUUUUUUAGUAUUUUGAUAGCACAGUGCAAACAGAGAUCAUGGGUCAGAUAUUAUUGCCAUAUUGAAUUUGGUAUUUGUGAAUAACUUUGUAUGAAUAACGUUAGUAAAAUUUAAAGUAAAAUUUAGGAAGCAGCUGGAAAGUUAUUUAAACAAGUGAAUUUGAGGAGGCAGAGGAAAACUGAUGUGUUGCUACCAUAGGAAAGGUACUGCUCAAGAUGUUUUACAGGCAAUCCACAGUUAUCCUAUUAGUAGCAUCCUGUUCACUUUAAAAUAGACUUGCCAGGUUCUGAUAAACACUGUAUUAUAGAGUGAACUAGUUUCCUGAUUUUGUAACAGCCCCAGAGGUUUCUUCUCUGUGAGAACUAGGAUUUGCAUCUAGUCAGAUCCCACAGAACCAGCAGCUGCCUCAACAUGAUGGCAUUCUAAGCUACAUUUCUUACACAGCCCUGGGGGUGACAGGCGGAGACCCAAAUGUCUCAAUGCCAACUCACGAGGGUUGCGCACGUCUCAGCAUCUCCUGACUCCAAGAGCAUUGGGAACGUUGGGUUCAAAGAAGGAGGCAGGUGGUGAAUGUGGGUAACCUUAGGCAGUAGCUGAGCAGGUUUCAGAGGGUUUUAGAUUACAGUGUUGGACAGACGUUCAGGUGGAAGUUUGACUUAUAAAUCCUUCAUUGGAGAUAACUCUUGAAAUCCUCUUUUAGAAGUGGAGUUGUAUUUAAGUGAUAGAUUACGCCGUAUAAUUUUUGCCACGUGUAUGUGUAUGCUUGUCCCAACCUAGCACUAAGACCUAUAGAGACUAAUAAAAAACAUUUCUGCAUGAAUAGUGUUUUCCACAGUAUAAUUAAAGAAUCUCUGCUCUAGUCCACUAGGUGUUGGUGUAUUUGAUUUGGGAAAACAAAAUUAGAAGUCAAAAGCAUUAUUUCAUUAUGCAUAUGCUUGUUCUUUCAAUAUGCCAUGACAAGUGUACGUGUUAUUAGAUUUAAUAUUUAAAAUUUUGCUACAAAAUAAAAAGAUUUUCUCUAGUUAUUCUCAUGA
Gallus gallus (chicken) is the source of this 5724-nucleotide RNA transcript. It is a transcript of the gene named Rho related BTB domain containing 3, with no coding region annotated. The transcript has 13 exons. Lineage: Eukaryota; Metazoa; Chordata; Aves; Galliformes; Phasianidae. The record is from RefSeq and is a predicted model, not a curated record.